UCAAGAAACUUCCACAAUGGGCGAAAGCCUGAUGGAGCGACGUCGCGUGAUGGACGAAGUGCUUCGGCACGUAAACAUCUUUUAUGUGGGAUGAAAUUAUUGACAGUACCACAUGAAUAAGGGGCUCCUAACUCUGUGCCAGCAGGAGCGGUAAUACAGAGGCCCCAAGCGUUAUCCGGAAUCACUGGGCGUAAAGGGUGUCGAGGCGGUUGUAUUAGUCGUUCGUAAAAUCUACGAGCUUAACUUGUAGGCGGCGAACGAAACGGUACGACUUGAGGUUUGGAGAGGUGCGUGGAACUCACGGUGUAGGGGUGAAAUCCGUUGAUAUCGUGGGGAACGCCAAAAGCGAAGGCAAUUCACUGGCGCAUACCUGACACUGAAACACGAAAGCCAGGGUAGCGAAUGGGAUUAGAUACCCUUGUAGUCCCUGAGCGGGCUGGCAAGGCGCAU
RNAcentral lists this ribosomal RNA (450 nucleotides) under uncultured bacterium. Its description in RNAcentral is "bacterial SSU rRNA". It matches the Rfam family "Bacterial small subunit ribosomal RNA", at positions 355 to 825 of the family's 1533-position model. The record is from RNAcentral.